This 12217-nucleotide long non-coding RNA is filed under the name Malus domestica (apple). RNAcentral's name for it is "long non-coding RNA (MDOM_LNC006278)". The record is from RNAcentral. Lineage: Eukaryota; Viridiplantae; Streptophyta; Magnoliopsida; Rosales; Rosaceae.
AACAUACAUAUGCAAUUGCUAAAUGCGAAAGACGAGUGACAUACCUGCUUGUUUUCCCUUCUCCGAGGGUGAUUCCUUGUGCUACUCUCCUCAACAACCUCCUUCACCACCUCACCACCGUUCUCAUUCCCUCCUCCUCCGCUGCCGCUUUCGCUCUCUCUCUCCUUCUCAGUUUCCUCUUGAGUCUCUCUCUCCUUCCCUUUUUCUUUUUCCUUCUUUUCCUUCAAACUCAAUUCCUGAAUCUUCCGAAUCUCAUCGAGGAAAGCAGGGUCGAGAUUCCUAAUCCAUUCGAUCACGGCGGGGUCGAGUGUCCGAAUCAAUUCAAGGAUUUCAGGAUCGAGAUCGGACGGCGCAUGAGACGGAAUAGACGGUGGAUGACCACUUUGAUCAUCGAUGGGAUUUAGGCGAAAGGCGACGCCUUGAGGGAGUUCCGAUUGCCGUCCGGAUCGAAAGUACCUAUAAAUUUCGACCAACACUGUAAAUGACACCGGUAGCAGAACACGCGCCGUUGGCAACAUUGGUAGUUUUUGCGCUGGCGGGGACGGCGGAGGCGGCGGCUGAAACUGGGUUGCUGGGUUUGCUGUGAACUUGCAACUAGCAGCUACAUUAUCAUUACGGAUUAAAUAGAGUUUUAGUUGGUUGAUUAAUUGUAGAAACUGGGUUUUGACUGGUUAAAUCAAAGGCGUCGGCUUUUUCUAGCAGAGGCAUGUUUGGAUUGCUUUUCAAUUCCAAAGAUACUUUGGAAAAGCGGACACUCGUGUACUUAGAUGCACUAGCUACAGUGCCUUUACGUGAACACCUAUUACUUCGAUACGAAGGAAUCAUAAACCAUAAAAGCUUUGAGCUACUUUACAACUCUCAAGAUGUUUCAAAAUCUCUGCUGAAUCAUAAACCGAUAAGCUUUAAGCUAAUUGAAUCAUAAAUCAAUAAGCUUUGAGUUAUUUUAUAACUCUCAAAAUGUUUCAAAAUCUCAACUGAAUAUACCGCAUACUCUGUCAUUUUGAUUAUCCUAAGUUUUAAUUUUGGGGCAAAGGUUGACUUAUAUGACCUCAGUUGACGCAUGCGUUGAGUUAUAUGACCUGAGUUCACUGUCAACUUCACAGGUCCCCUCCGGUACCUACAAACAUGUUAUUUUGUAAUAUGGGUUCGUCUUUUUCAUUGGUGUUUUAUGUGCGAGUUUAAUCAAUGUUAGUGUUUUAUGUGUGAGUUUAAUCAAUGUUACAUGCAACAGACAACGCAAACGCCGCAACAAGUUCGAUACACAACAAAAGAUGCCAGCAGAAAUUUAUGGGGUGAGAUCAACAAGCCAUUUGAAGAUGCUCGGGGAAUAGGCAACGACGACGAAAUUGAAAGAAUAUUACCCGACUAAACUUGUAUUUUCCGGUAAAGUGACAUGGAUAAGAAAUCAUUUACACGUUUCAUUCACAAUUAAAAAGUUUGUGUCAUCCGUGUGAAAAGGUUUGAUACAUUUCUAAGAUUAAAUUUACCGAAAGAGAGAUUACACAUGUCCUCGGUGAUGCGAAUCCUGUGCUCUAUGCAAGCAUUCAUGCAUAACUUAUUGCACGGGCUGCGGUUGACUUGUACCAUCAGUUCCACUUCUGCUCCCAGCUAUUCCCGCCCCAUUAGUAGUCGCCCAGUACCACAUAUAUGACAAGCAAAGUGCGACUCCAUUUGCAAAAUUGCUCCACAGAACCAUUUACUUUCCAAAGAAUCUUUGGUAUAGGCAUCGAAUAGCCAGAAAAUUACAUAGAAUCACAAAAAAAAUCAAAGCCACUCCAGAGAGGAAUGAAAGAUAUGGUGUCUCUACAAUAAAAGGAACAAGUUCGGAUAGUGUUCCCAGAUGGGUGAAGAACAAAGCCGAGUCUUCUCUUUAUAUUAUGGAAGACGAACUAAUCGGGAUUGAAGACAAGAAGCAAACGUUAAUGGCAUGCGAUCUGUAAUGUGUGCAAAUGUUCUGAUCCUGGAUUUUGAACAAAUUUUGUGCGAUCAUGUAAUAUGGAAUCAAACUGAGGCUCUCAUCAUAGACAGGAGAGGAGACAACAAUUAGUCAAUAAUCUUUAUGAUUCAGGAACAAAGCGAAAAAACCCUUCCUAAGGUCAUAUUCCGAAAUCAGGAACUCAUUACCAAAGUCAAAAGAAGAGCUUACUGGUCUCAACGGCAGGCCUUUGUCACCGAGUGUGAAUGGGGGGCUACGGCAGUCUGAGUUUUUGGAUGGUGAUAUUUGCAAUUAGAUUUAAACUUGCAAUCUCCCGUUCUUGAGAAAUAACUGCAAUCAGGUUGGCCAGGUCUUUCUGGGAACUCUUCAACUUGAUUCUGGUGUGGAUAUUGUUUGUAGACGUUGGUCUCAGUCACUGAGUUGUUCAUCAUAUAUGGUGGACGUGCAGGCAUGCUUCCUUCUGGUAUAUAUGCUGGAGCCUAAAGGUGCAAACAGAAAAACAAUUGGCAUUAAUAUUAGGGAUAUCGAUAUGUUUCAACCCCCAAUAAAUGGUAGGAUACCAACAUCUCUUAUAACUUAUCCCUUCUAAUCCCGUCCCCACAUGAAGAAUCAUUCACAACGACCUUCAUUUCUUACUUCACCGUAUCUUAAAAUAGCAAAUUAUCAAAUCUAAUUCUACGCACCAAAUGAGAAGGUUUGACAAAUUCACUUCAGGAGGAGGCACAUACACCAAGUUUUUUUUGUCAAACCUCGUAAAUUCUUGAUGCACUCUUGUUUGUUUUGCUCAUUGUCGUCGAGGAUCAUCAAUUUUUUUUUUGUCCCGUCGAAUUAUUCAUCGCGAGGAGAGGAUCAAAUAAUAUCUAUGUAGACACUAACUUGGUUCAAAAAACAAAAUGUUUGAGUUCAUCCAGCAAUUCUUCCCCAUUGUUGGGGUUUGUUUGGUUUGGAGGUCAAUAGUUAACACAAUCACUUCUGUAGGUAGGAUUAUCCAACAAGCAAAUCCAAGAUAAUUGGGAAGUGACCAUAACCACAAAGCAAAGUUGAGAGGACACUCCCCAAAUUUAACCUGUAUUUUCUAGUAAAAUCGCUUCAAAUACGAAAUGAUUUACAUUUUCCGGCUUCAAUUAAGUUCUUACAUCCGAAAGACCGCUGGCAGCUGGGUGACAAGGUUUGAUACAUUUCCAAGUUCAAAAUAACAAAUCGAUUAACUCCUCUAGCUGGCGUUUCAUGCAAUACUUAUAACUCAGGCUGUUGCGGAAUUGUAGCAUCACUCCCAGCCAUACUUCCAGAUGUUCAAAGGGCAUGAGAAGGAAAAGAAAGAAGUCAAAACACGAAAAGAUCCGACUAUUAUCCCUAAAAAAAUGGUAACUCGUACAUCAAAAUCAUGAAAGGUAAAUAAACACAAGACUAUAAUACCUGAGUGAUGACACCCUUCCAUUCUGCAGUUUCAGCAUACUUCCAGAUGUUCAAAGGGCAUGAGAAGGAAAAGAAAGAAAUCAAAACACGAAAAGAUCCGACUAUUAUCCCUAAAAAAAUGGUAAUUCGUACAUCAAAAUCAUGAGAGGUAAAUAGACACAAGAGUAUAAUACCGGAGUGAUGACAUCAUUCCAUUCUGCAGUUUCGGAAUGAAUCCCAUGAGAUUCAUAAGUGGAUUGUGGGCGAGAUUCUUCUAAAGGUGUAGGAUCAGGGUGAUUAAACAAGCAGUUGUUUUCAUACUUGCAAGUGCCAGUUUGCAUAUAGUGCAAACAAUCUGCCUUCCCCUGUAAUACGUUAAAAUAAUAAUUCAGCGAAUACAUGGACACUUGAUAGUAGCUCCAACAGACUAAGAAAAUAGCAAAGACAAAAUCUCAAAUCUUAAGCACCAUGAAUAGAUAGAUAUUCAUUCCUCAUAUUUUUGCAGAUCAAACUGAGAGUUUACCGGACGAAUUGGCAGGCCCAAAAAGUUAAGUUCCAGAGCAGGAGCUACAGAGGGUUCCCCUUUACAUUGUCCAGGGCAAUACUGCAACAAGCUCAAGUGUUAUAUUAACAUCAUGAAACUGUUACUAGGCCGCCAUGCACAUCGCACAGAUUUGAAUAGGAGGCUACAAAGGGAAAGAAAUGUCAUUCACAAUUUAAAAAUUAAUUGUAAUCCUGUAUAAAAAGGAAUAUGUGAUUGUAAUGUAACACCAUACAAUUGUCAUGAAAACACAUCGACUAUAAGUUGAUCACAUUCAAGACCCUCAUCGUUCUAUAGUUAGCUACAAGAUAAAAGGUUUAAGAUAACCACGUCGCCUAUGAGUUGAUCAUGUUCAGCUGUGCAUGCUAACCGACCAGCUUUCAGAUAAACCAUAUAAGAAGCCCCAUCGUCACUCAAAACAGAAAGAGUUAAGAUAUUACAUGAAACCAAAUAUGCAAAGUAAAAGAAAACUUAAGGAUGUAAGGCAUGAAAACCAAGCAAUUGAAGUUCAAAACCAGAACUUCGGAUAGAUAAUAAUCUUGCUUCCGGUCUGGUCUUGCUUCUCUGUCAACUCUUCACUCUGCUUUGCCUUGUCCUUAGACACCUUCUAAACAAUAUGAUAAAGUUGAAAACACCAAGAAACACAGAGUGAGCACCAACAACACACAUUUCAUCCAGUCAUACAAGGCCAGAUGCAUUAAUGUUCCAAACACUAAAUGCAGGUCCAAAGUCGCCAUUUUUCAGUUAAUCCGAAGUACCAAUUUUCACGUACAAAUUUCACCACAAAGAUGCAUGUGAAGGAAAAACAUCAUCUCUAACAAAUAUGACAAGUGCAUCAUUUCGAGUCAAUUCUACCAACAAAGAUCAUCAUCACAGCAUAAUAAACUAACCGAUUAACACUCUUUACACUAUAACACAUGCAUGCAUGCAUUUUUUCUGCUAAAGCAUCAAACAAAGAGAGAUAAACACGAAAAGUCUCAAUCUUUCAACCAUAAACAUACAUAUGCAAAUGCUAAAUACAAAAAGUUAAGAUACUACUUGAAACCAAAUAUGCAAAGUAAAACAAACUUAAUGAUGUAAACUUGAAAACCAAGCAAUUGCAGUAAAAAGUUCAAAACCAGAACUUUGGAUAGAUAAUAACCUUGUUUUUGGUUUGGCCUUGCUUCUCUGCCAACUCUCCCCUCUGCUUUGCCUUGUCCUUAGACGCCUUCUAAACAAUAUGAUAAAGUUGAAAACACCAAGAUACACAAAGUGAGCACCAACAACACAAAUAUUUCAUCCAGUCAUACAAGGCCAGAUGCAUUAAUGUUUCAAACACUAAAUGCAGGUCCAAAGUUGCCAUGUUUCAGUUAAUCCGAAGUACCAGUUUUCACGUACAAAGUUCACCACAGAUGAUUGUGAAAGAAAAACAUCAUCUCUAACAAAUAUGACAGUUGCUUCAUUUCGAGUCAAUUCCACUGACAAAGAUCAUCAUCACGGCAUAAUAAACUAACCGAUUAACACAUUCUUUACACUAUAACACAUGCAUUUUUCAGCUAAAGCAUGAAACGAAGAGAGCUAAACACGAAAAGUCUCAACCUUUCAACCAUAAACAUACAUAUGCAAAUGCUAAAUACAAAAAGUUAAGAUACUACUUGAAACUAAAUAUGCAAAGUAAAACAAACUUAAUGAUGCAAACAUGAAAACCAAGCAAUUGCAGUAAAAAGUUCAAAACCAGAACUUCGGAUAGUUAAUAACCUUGUUUUUGGUUUGGCCUUGCUCCUCUGCCAACUCUCCUCUCUGCUUUGACUUGUCCUUAGACACCUUCUAAACAAUAUGAUAAAGUUGAAAACACCAAGAUACACAAAGUGAGCACCAACAACACAUAUUUCAUCCAGUCAUACAAGGCCAGAUGCAUUAAUGUUUCAAACACUAAAUGCAGGUCCAAAGUCGCCAUUUUUCAGUUAAUCCGAAGUACCAAUUUUCACGUACAAAUUUCACCACAAAGAUGCAUGUGAAGGAAAAACAUCAGCUCUAACAAAUAUGACAAGUGCAUCAUUUCGAGUCAAUUCUACCAACAAAGAUCAUCAUCACAGCAUAAUAAACUAACCGAUUAACACUCUUUACACUAUAACACAUGCAUGCAUGCAUUUUUUCUGCUAAAGCAUCAAACAAAGAGAGAUAAACACGAAAAGUCUCAAUCUUUCAACCAUAAACAUAUAUAUGCAAAUGCUAAAUACAAAAAGUUAAGAUACUACUUGAAACCAAAUAUGCAAAGUAAAACAAAAAAACUUAAUGACGUAAACAUGAAAACCAAGCAAUUGCAGUAAAAAGUUCAAAACCAGAACUUCAGAUAGAUAAUAACCUUGUUUUUGGUCUGGCCUUGCUUCUCUGCCAACUCUCCCCUCUGCUUUGCCUUGUCCUUAGACACCUUCUUCUAAUAAAUAUGAUAAAGUUCAAAACAGCAAGAAACACAAAGUGAGCACCAACAAUACAAAUAUUUCCUACAAUCAUACAAGACCAUAUGCAUUAAUGUCUAAAACGCUAAAUGCAGACCCAAAGUACCGAUUUUUCAAUUACAAAUUUCACCACAAAGAUGCAUGUGAAAGAAAACGUCAUCUCUAACAAAUAUGAUAAGUGCCUCCAUUUCGAUUUUUCGAGUCAAUUGCGCUGACAAAGAUCACCAACACAGCAUAAUAAACUAACCAAUCAACACAUUCUUUACACUAUAACACAUGCAUACAUGCAUUUCUCAGCUAAAGCCUGAAAAAUUGAGGGCUGAGGCUGGGAAAACAUGAAAAGUCUCAAUCUUUCAACCAUAAACAUAGAUAUGCAAAUGCUAAAUACAAAAAGUUAAGAAACCACUUGAAACAAAAUAUGCGAAGUAAAACAAUCUUAAUGAUGUAAAACAUGAAAACCAAACAGUUGCAUUUAAAAGUUCAAAACCAGAACUUCGGAUAGAUAAUUACCUUGCUUUCGGUCUGGUCUUGCUUCUCUGCCAACUCUUCCCUCUGCUUUGCCUUGUCCUUAGACACCUUCAUCUAAUAAAUAUGAUAAAGUUCAAAAUACCAAGAAACACAAAAUGAGCACCAAAAACACAAAUAUUUCAUGCAAUCAUAGAAGGCCAUAAGCAUUAAUGUCUCAUACGCUAAAUGCAGGCCCAAAGUCCCCAUUUUUUUUGUUAAUCCAAAGUCCAAAGUUUUCAUGUACAAAUUUCACCAAGCAUGUGAAAGGAAAAAAAUCAUCUCUUAACAAAUAUGAUAUGUGCCUCCAUUUCAAGCCAAUUCCGCUGACAAAAAUCAUCAUCGCGGCAUAACAAACUAACAAUUAAGAUUAACACAUUCUUUAAUUACACUAUAGCACAUGCAUACAUGCAUUUCUCAGCUGAGACAAUGAGUGUUGAGGCCUGGAAAACACGGAAAGUCUCAAUCAUUCAACCAUAAACAUACAUAAGCAAAUGUUAAAUACAAAACUUUAAGAUACAACUUGAAACCAAAUAUGCAAAGUAAAACUAACUUAAUGAUGUUAAACAUGAAAACCAAGUAGUCGCAGUAAACAACCAGAACAUCAGAUAGAUCAGAACCUUGCUUUCGGUAUGGUCUUGAUUCUCUGCCAACUCUUCCUUCUGCUUUGCCUUGUCCUUAGACAGCUUCUUCUAAUAGAUAUGAUGAAGUUCAAAACACAAAGAAACACAAAGUGAGCACCAACAACACAAAUAUUUCCUGCAAUAAUACAAUGCCAGAUGCAUUAAUUUCACAAACGCUAAAUGCUGGCCCAGAGUCCCCCAUUUUUUUUUGUUAAUCCAAAGUCCCGAAUUUUCAAGUACAAAUUUCACGACAAAGAUGCAUGUAAAAGAAAAACUUCAUCUCUAACAAAAAAUAGUGCCUCCAUUUCGAGUCAAUUUCGCUGACAAAGAUCAUCAUCAUGGUAUAAUAGACUAACCGAUCAACACAUUCUUUACACUAUAACACAUGCAUACAUGCACUUUUCAGCUAAAGCAUGAAACAAAGAGUGCUAAACACGAAAAGUUUCAAUCUUUCAACCAUAAACAUACAUAUGCAAAUGCUAAAUACAAAAAGUUAUGAUACUACUUGAAACAAAAUAUGUGAAGUAAAACAAACUCAAGAUGUAACACAUGAAAACCAAGCAGUUGCAGUAAAAAGUUCAAAACCAGAACUUCGGAUAGAUAAUGACCUUGCUUUCGGUCUGGUCUUGCUUCUCUGCCAACUCUUCUGUCUGCUUUGCCUUGUCCUUCGACACCUUCGUCCAAAAAAUAUGAUAAAGUUCAAAAUACCAAGAAACACAAAAUGCGCACCAAAACAUAAAUAUUUCAUGCAAUCAUAGAAGGCCAUAAGCAUUAAUGUCUCAAAUGCUAAAUCAGGCCCAAAGUCCCGAUUCUUUUUGUUAAUCCAAAGUCCAAAUUUUUAAUGUACAAAUUUCACCAAAAAAGUUGCAUGUGAAUGAAAAACAUCAUCUCUACAAAUAUGAUAUGUGCCUCCAUUUUGAGUCAAUUCCUGCUGACAAAUAUCAUCAAUAGAAGCAUAAUAAACUAACCAAUUAACACAUUCUUUACACUAUAACACAUGCAUUCAUGCAUUCCUCAGCUGAAACAAUGAGAGCUGAGGGUGGGAAAACACGAAAAAGUCUCAAUCUUUCAACCAUAAAAAUACAUACGCAAGUGCUAAAUACAAAAAAUUAAGAUACUACUUGAAACCAUGUACGCAAAGUAAAACAAACUUAAUGAUGUAAAACAAGAAAACCAAGCAGUUGCAAUAAAAAAGAACUUCGGAUAGAUAAUAACCUUGAUUUUGGUCUGGUCUUGCUUCUCUGCAAACUCCUCCCUCUGCUUUGCUUUCUCCUUAGACACCUUCUAUUAAAUAGAUAAAGUUCAAAACACCAAGAAACACAAAGGGAGCAUCAACAAAAUAAAUAUUUCGAGCUUAUGAUAAAGGCCAGAUGCAUUAAAUCUCAAAUACUAAAUUAUGGCCCAAAGUCCAAAUUUUUUUGUUAUUCCAAAAUCCCAAAUUUUCACAUACAAAUUUCACCACAAAGCUGCAUAUGAAAUUAUGAAUGAAAACAUCAUCUCUAACAAAUAUGACAUGUGCCUCCAUUUCAAGUCAAUUCUGCUGACAAAGAUCGUGAUCGUAGCUUAAUAAACUAACCGGUUAUAACAUUCUUUACACCAUAACACAUGCAUACAUGCAUUUCUCAGUUGAAACAAUGAGAGCUGAAGUCGGGAAAACAAGAAAAGACUCAAUCUUUCAACAAUAAACAUACAUAUGAAAAUGCUAAAUACAAAAAGUUAAGAUACUACUUGAAAUCAUAUAUGCAAAGUAAAACAAACUUAGUGAUGCAAAACAUUAAAAGCAGUUGCAUUGAAAACCAGAACUAUGGAUAGAUAAUAACCUUGCUUUCGGUCUGGUCUUGCUUCACUGCCAACUCUUCCCUCUGCUUUGCCUUGUCCUUAGUCACCUUCUUCUAAUAAAUUUGAUAAAGUUCAAAACACCAAGAAACACAAAGUGAGCAUCAACAACACAAAUAUUUCCUGCAAUCAUACAAGGCCGGAUGCAUUAAUGUCCCAAACACUAAAUGCAGGCUCAAAGUCUCAAUUUUUUUGUUAAUAAAAAAUCCCAAUUUUUUCACGUACAAACUUCACCACAAAGAUGCAUGUGAAAGAGAAAUAUCAUCUCCAAAAAAUAUGAUAUGCGCCUCCAUUUUGAGUCAAUGCCGCUGGAAAAAUCAUCUUCGCGGCAUAAUAAACGAACUGAUUAACAUAUUCUUUACACUAUAACAGAUGCAUACAUGCCUUUCUUAGCUGAAUCAAUCAGAGCUGAGGCUGGGUAAACACGAAUAGUCUCAAUCUUUCAACCAUAAACAUAAAUAUGCAAAUGCUAAAUACAAAAUGUUAAGAUAGUACAUGAAACCAAAUAUGCAAAGUAAAACAAUCUUAAUGAUGUAAAGCAGGAAAACCAAGUAGUUGCAGCAAAAAGUUAAAAACCAGAACUUCGGAUUGAUAUUAACCUUGCUUUCGGUCUGGACUUGCUUCUCUACCAACUCUUCCCGCUGCUUAGCCUUGUCCUUAGACACCUUCUAAUAAAUAUGAUAAAGUUGAAAACACCAAGAAACACAAAGUGAGCACAAAAAAAAUACAAAUAUUUCCUGCAAUCAUACAAGGCCAUAUGCAUUAAAGUCUCAAAUGCUAAAUGCAUACCCAAAGUCCCCAUUUUUUUUGUUAAUUCAAAGUCCCCAUUUUUCACGCACAAAUUUCAGAACAAAUAUGCAUGUGAAAGAAAACAUCACCUCUAACAAAUAUGAUAUGUGCCUACAUUUCAAGUCAAUUCUGCUAACAAAGAUCAUCAUAGCGGCAUAAUAAACUAACUGACUAUAACACAUGCAUACAUGCAUUUCUCAGCUGAAACAAUGAAAGCUAAGGCUGGGAAAACGCGGAAAGUCUCAAUCUUUCAACCAUAAACAUGCGUAUGCAAAUGCUAAAUACAAAAGGUUAAGAUACUACUUGAAACCAAAUGUGCUAAGUAAAAACAAACAUAAUGAUGUAAAACAUGAAAACCAAGCAAUUGUUGUAAAAUCAUAACUUUGAAUAGAUAAUAACCUUGUUUUCGGUCUGGUCUUGCUUUUCUGCCAACCCUUCCCUCGGCUUUGCCUUGUCGUUAGACACCUCCAACACAAAGUCGCCAACAAUUAUUUCCUGCUAUCAUACAAGGCCGGAUGCAUUAAUGUUUCAAACACUAAAUGCAGGCCCAAAGUCCCAAUUUUUUUUGUUAAUCCAAGGUCCUGAUGUUUCAUGUACAAAUUUCACCACAAAGAUGCAUGUGAAAGAAAAACUUCAUCUCUAACAAUUAUGAGAAAUGCCUCUAUUUUCAAGUCAACGGCAGCAUAAUACACUAACCAAUUAAUACAUACUUUACACUAUAACAUAUGCAUGCAUGCAUUUCUCGGCUGAAACAAUGAGAGCUGGGGCCUAGAAAACAUGAAAUGUCUGUCUUUCAACCAUAAACACACAUGCAAAUGCUAUGUACAAAAAGUUAAGAUACUACUUGAAACCAAAUAUGCAAAGCAAAACAAACUUAAUGAUGUAAAACAUGAAAACCAAGCACUUGCUGUAAAAACCAGAACUUCGGAAUUCAGAUAGAUAAUAACCUUGCUUUCGGUCUGGUCUUGCUUCUCUGCCAACUCUUCCCCCUGCAUUGCCUUGUCCUUGGACACCUUCAUCUAAUAAAUAUUAGAUAGUUCAAAACACAAAGAAACACAAAGUGCCAACAACACAAAUACUUAAUGCAAUCAUACAAGGCCAUUAAUGUCUCAAGCACUAAAUGCAGGCCCAAAGUCCUGAUUUUUCACGUACAAAUUUCACUACAAAGAAGCAUGUGAAAGAAAAUCCUCAUCUUUAACAAAUAUGAUAUGUGUCUCCAUUUCGAGUCAAUCCCGCUGACAAACAUCAUCGUCACGGCAUAAUAAACUAACCGAUUAACACAUUAUUUAUACUAUAACACAUGCAUACAUGCAUUUCUCAGCUGAAACAAUGAGAGGUGAGGCCGGAAAACACGAAAAGCCUAAAUCUUUCAACCCUAAACAUACAUAUGCAAUUGCUAAAUGCGAAAGACGAGUGAAAUACCAGCUUGUUUUUCCUUCUACGAGAGCGUUUACUUGUGCUACUCUCCUCAACAACCUCCUUCACCACCUCACCACCGUUCCCAUUCCCUCCUCCCCCGCUGCCGCUUUCGCUCUUUUCGCUCUCUCUCUCCUUCUUAGUUUCUUCUUGAGUCUCUCUCUCCUUCCCUUCUUUGUCCUCCUUUUCCUUCAAACUCAAUUCCCGACUCUUCCGAAUCUCAUCGAGGAAGGCAGGGUCGGGAUUCCUAAUCCAUUCGAUCACGGCGGGAUCGAGUGUCCGAAUCAAUUCAAGGAUUUCAGGAUCGAGAUCCGACGGCGCAGGAGACAGAAUAGACGGUGGAUGACCACUUUGAUCAUCGACGCGGUUGUUGUUAAUGGGAUUUAGGGGAACGGCGACGCCUUCAAGGAAUUCCGAUUGCAGUCCGGAUCGAUAGUACCUAUAAAUUUCGACCAACUCUGUAAAUGACACCGGUUGCAGAACACCCGUUGGCAACAUUGGUAGAUUUUGUGCUGGCGGGGACGGCGGCUGAAACUGGGUUGCUGGGUUUGCUGUGAACUUGCAACUAGCAGCUAGCAGCUACAUUAUCAUUACGGAUUAAAUUGAGUUUUAGUUGGUUGAUUAAUUGUAGAAACUGGGUUUUGACUGGUUAAAUCAAAGUCGUCUGCUUUUUCUAGCAGAGGCAUGUUUGGAUUGCUUAAUUCCAAAGCUGCUUUUGGAACAGUGCAUACUCAUGUAC